RNAcentral lists this ribosomal RNA (491 nucleotides) under uncultured bacterium. Its description in RNAcentral is "partial 16S ribosomal RNA". It matches the Rfam family "Bacterial small subunit ribosomal RNA", at positions 29 to 506 of the family's 1533-position model. The record is from RNAcentral.
AGUGAACGCUGGCGGUAGGCCUAACACAUGCCAGUCGAACGGCAGCACAGUAAGAGCUUGCUCUUACGGGUGGCGAGUGGCGGACGGGUGAGGAAUACAUCGGAAUCUACUUUUUCGUGGGGGAUAACGUAGGGAAACUUACGCUAAUACCGCAUACGACCUACGGGUGAAAGCAGGGGAUCUUCGGACCUUGCGCGAUUGAAUGAGCCGAUGUCGGAUUAGCUAGUUGGCGGGGUAAAGGCCCACCAAGGCGACGAUCCGUAGCUGGUCUGAGAGGAUGAUCAGCCACACUGGAACUGAGACACGGUCCAGACUCCUACGGGAGGCAGCAGUGGGGAAUAUUGGACAAUGGGCGCAAGCCUGAUCCAGCCAUACCGCGUGGGUGAAGAAGGCCUUCGGGUUGUAAAGCCCUUUUGUUGGGAAAGAAAAGCAGCAGGUUAAUACCCCGCUGUCCUGACGGUACCCAAAGAAUAAGCACCGGCUAACUUCGU